This 497-nucleotide ribosomal RNA is filed under the name uncultured bacterium. Its description in RNAcentral is "partial 16S ribosomal RNA". It matches the Rfam family "Bacterial small subunit ribosomal RNA", at positions 28 to 507 of the family's 1533-position model. The record is from RNAcentral.
GAUGAACGCUGGCGGCGUGCCUAAUACAUGCAAGUCGAGCGAACGGACGAGAAGCUUGCUUUUCUGAUGUUAGCGGCGGACGGGUGAGUAACACGUGGAUAACCUACCUAUAAGACUGGGAUAACUUCGGGAAACCGGAGCUAAUACCGGAUAAUAUUUUGAACCGCAUGGUUCAAAAGUGAAAGACGGUCUUGCUGUCACUUAUAGAUGGAUCCGCGCUGCAUUAGCUAGUUGGUAAGGUAACGGCUUACCAAGGCAACGAUGCAUAGCCGACCUGAGGGGGUGAUCGGCCACACUGGAACUGAGACACGGUCCAGACUCCUACGGGAGGCAGCAGUAGGGAAUCUUCCGCAAUGGGCGAAGGCCUGACGGAGCAACGCCGCGUGAGUGAUGAAGGUCUUCGGAUCGUAAAACUCUGUUAUUAGGGAAGAACAUAUGUGUAAGUAACUGUGCACAUCUUGACGGUACCUAAUCAGAAAGCCACGGCUAACUACGUG